CAGUAGCCGCGGUAAUACGGAGGGUGCAAGCGUUAUCCGGAUUUAUUGGGUUUAAAGGGUCCGUAGGCGGACUUAUAAGUCAGUGGUGAAAGCCUGUCGCUUAACGAUAGAACUGCCAUUGAUACUGUAAGUCUUGAGUAUAUUUGAGGUAGCUGGAAUAAGUAGUGUAGCGGUGAAAUGCAUAGAUAUUACUUAGAACACCAAUUGCGAAGGCAGGUUACCAAGAUAUAACUGACGCUGAGGGACGAAAGCGUGGGUAGCGAACAGGAUUAGAUACCCCCGUAGUCCCUGUCUCUUAUAA
Molecule: ribosomal RNA, 301 nt
Filed under: uncultured bacterium
Lineage: Bacteria
Description: partial 16S ribosomal RNA
Rfam family: Bacterial small subunit ribosomal RNA
Source: RNAcentral